AAAUAGAUAUAGGCUUAAAGUAAAAUGGAUUAAUCUGUUUGAAUAAAGGGGAACCUUCCUCUAAGCCUUAAUAUAAUAUACAAGAAAUAGAGAAUAGUACUGUGAAGGAAGUAUGUAAAAUAGUAGUCUUAUAAGCAGCUCAAGGUAAGUUUAAUAAACAUAUGAGAGCGUACCUUUUGUAUAAUGGGUCAGCAAGUUCUAGUUAGAUGCAAGCAAGUAGUGAUUAGUGGUGAUAGAUUAAAUUUAAGAAAUUAAAUUGAAGAAACAUAAUUUUAAUACACAAAAAAGAAUCAAUUUGCCUAGAUAAUCCAAUUAUUAAGUAAUGAAUUAGUAUCUAAUUAGAGACCCGAAGAGUAGUGAUCUUACCAUGGUCAGGCUUAUAAAAGGCCGAAUGGGUUAUCGUUGUAAAGAUAUCCAAAGAACUGUGGUAAGUUAGUGAAAGACAAUCCUGACUACUAUAGCUGGUUUUCCGCGAAACAUAUGUAAGUAUGUAGUUUAAAUAACAUCAUAGCAGGUACAGAACUGUGAUCUCGGACAAUUUGUGCAUUAAUAUCCUAUUAGGGUAUAUAAUGCCUUGUGCAUAUGGGGGGGUCGUGAAGACUCUAUUCGCGAGUAUUUGCUCUCGGAAGGGCAAUGAUGAGUGUUGAACUAUCAGACAUUUAACGAUAAGGUUGUGUGUCAAAAGGGAAACAGCCCAGAACAAGUGUUUAAGGUUCCAAAGUUUUUGUUAAGUGAAAGUAAGGAAGUAUUUAAACUAUACAACCAGGAAAUAGGCUUAGAAGCGGCCAUUUUUUAAAGACCUCGUAACAGAGCACUGGUUCAAAUGGUUAAUUCGUUAACCUAAUUAGUUAAAAGCGCCGAAGAUAUAACGGAUCUAAAACAAAACACCGACACCUUGUCCAUAAUAAUUAUAUUAGGUAUAAUCCUAGUUUACUAUACUUAAAGGUUAUUUAAGUAUUAUUUAUGGGGUAGCGGAACAUUGGGUAAAUAGGUUUUAAAUAGAUAGUACUCCUUCGGUUCUAAAUAGAUAGAACUUACCUCUUUCCCAAGUGAGAGAAGGUUGGUCUUUUAUUAAUUUAUAAUAACUGACUAUACAGGAUAAUUUAUAGUUACGUCUAUUUCAUAAUUACAUUUGUAAUUUGCUCGCUAUAUAGCGGGUUACCGUACAUAUCCCAAGUGAGAAUGCUGACACGAGUAACGAAAAAGAGAACUUAGUAUUACACUACUAUGUAAAAUGUUCUCUCGCCUUAAGCUUAUGGGAAAGUUAAUCGGUCUCUAAAUUAAACCUAAAGGAUAAAAUGAUGAGGAGAUUAUAUGUGACAACAUAAAGAAAUGGAGUAAAAUGUUCUGGAAAAGCAUAUAAUAUACAAGAAAGGAGCAAUGAGGAAAUGGAGAAAUUGUUCUAGGUUAUAAACUAAAAAGAAGAUACUACUUCCUUGUAUAUACUAAAACCGUACCUAAAAACUACCACAAGUAAGCUAGUAGAGAAUACGAAGGCGUUUGAGCUAACAAUCAUUAAGGAACUCGGCAAAUUGACACCGUAACUGAGGGAGAAGGUGUGCCAUUCCUACUGAUUAAUAUCAGUUUAGGAAGAGGAGACAUAAAAUGGUGUUGCACGACUGUUUAAUUAAAACACAGCACUUUGCGUAAGAUGUAAAUCAAUGUAUAGAGUGCGCUAUCUGCCCAAUGAUGGCUGGUUAACGGAUUUACUUAGACGACUAAAAUAGGCUAGGUUUUGAAGGAACCCCCAUUUAAUGGCGGCCUUACCUAUGAGGGUCCUAAGGUAGCGAAAUACCUUGGCAUUUAAAUGAUGUCGCGCAUGAAUGAUCUCACGAUGCAACAGCUGUCUCAAUGAUUGGCUCAGUGAAAUUGGAAUGGCAGUGAAGAUACUGCCUAUCUCUAGAUAGACGAGAAGACCCCAUGCAGCUUUACUGUUACUAGUUAUAGGGUAUAAUUUAACAGGUUUUAGGGAAUAAGGUAGUUGAGCGACAAAAUUGAAACACCUUUACUCUGGUUGUUAUAUCAGUAGAAUAGGUUACAUUAUUGUAACUGACGUCUGAAUGUAAUCCAUAAAAGGAGGGAGAUUAUAUCAAGCUCAGGAGACAAUGGCUAGCAGAUGGUUUAUGCGGGGCACAGAUCCCAUAAAGAGUACCUGGGAGUAUCCAAAUUUAUUUUUGUAAUAUGCUAUACGCAAAUUAUAUAGGGCUUUUAUUAAAUAAUUGCCUUGUAUAUUUUAAUUUUUUAAUUACUAUAUUUAGUUUGUUAUUUUUUAUAUUUACAAUUUUUUUUUAAAAAUGUUACCCAAUUUUUUUUAUUGGGAUGUACAUUU
This 2329-nucleotide ribosomal RNA is filed under the name bioreactor metagenome. RNAcentral's name for it is "bacterial LSU rRNA". It matches the Rfam family "Bacterial large subunit ribosomal RNA", at positions 393 to 2391 of the family's 2925-position model. The record is from RNAcentral.